Molecule: ribosomal RNA, 497 nt
Filed under: uncultured bacterium
Lineage: Bacteria
Description: partial 16S ribosomal RNA
Rfam family: Bacterial small subunit ribosomal RNA
Source: RNAcentral
GAUGAACGCUGGCGGCGUGCCUAAUACAUGCAAGUCGAGCGAACAGACGAGGAGCUUGCGCCUCUGACGUUAGCGGCGGACGGGUGAGUAACACGUGUAUAACCUACCUAUAAGACUGGGAUAACUUCGGGACACCGGAGCUAAUACCGGAUAAUAUAUUGAACCGCAUGGUUCAAUAGUGAAAGACGGUUUUGCUGUCACUUCUAGCUGGAUCCGCGCCGCAUUAGCUAGUUGGUAAGGUAACGGCUUACCAAGGCGACGAUGCGUAGCCGAGCUGAGAGGGUGAUCGGCCACACUGGAACUGAGACACGGUCCAGACGCCUACGGGAGGCAGCAGUAGGGAAUCUUCCGCAAUGGGCGAAAGCCUGACGGAGCAGCGCCGCGUGAGUGAUGAAGGUCUUCGGAUCGUAAAACUCUGUUAUUAGGGAAGAACAAAUGUGUAAGUAACUAUGCACGUCUUGACGGUACCUAAUCAGAAAGCCACGGCUAACUACGUG